This 253-nucleotide ribosomal RNA is filed under the name uncultured bacterium. Its description in RNAcentral is "partial 16S ribosomal RNA". It matches the Rfam family "Bacterial small subunit ribosomal RNA", at positions 524 to 776 of the family's 1533-position model. The record is from RNAcentral.
UACGAAGGGGGCAAGCGUUGUUCGGAAUUACUGGGCGUAAAGCGCGCGUAGGCGGCGUCGUCAGUCAGAGGUGAAAUCCCAGGGCUCAACCUUGGAAUUGCCUUUGAUACUGCGAUGCUUGAGUUCGAGAGAGGGUGGCGGAAUACCCAGUGUAGAGGUGAAAUUCGUAGAUAUUGGGUAGAACACCAGUGGCGAAGGCGGCCACCUGGCUCGAUACUGACGCUGAGGUGCGAAAGCGUGGGGAGCAAACAGG